RNAcentral lists this non-coding RNA (694 nucleotides) under Pan troglodytes (chimpanzee). The record is from RNAcentral. Lineage: Eukaryota; Metazoa; Chordata; Mammalia; Primates; Hominidae.
CCAUUUCUUCCCACCUUCUACUCCCAGUGAAAAAUGGAGCCAGGCAUCACCCUCCCCACUUUGCUUGCUAAGCUGCAGUGCAGAAGGCACCACUACUGCGCCCUCCAGCAUGCUUUUUGGAGAGGACUGGAGCACACUGGGACGUGCAUGCGAGAAUCUGCAUGUGCCCCUUUCUGGAAUUUGAGGGAAGUACAUGGACGCAGCCUGCGUCUUGCUCCUACAUUUCCUUAGGCAUGUCUGAAAGCCAGAGUGGCUGGCUGGAGCAGUUGGUCCCAUCGGGGAAAAGAAGGAACAUGCACAGCAUGAGGGGAAUGGGAGAGAAAGAAGUGGCUGCACCAUGCUGCUGUUUCUGUGGCUCCAUGUGACACAAUACACAGGUGGGAGGAUGAGGUGGACACAGUAGGGAUGCCCAGGCAGUAGCCCAAGCAAGUGGAUGCCCCAUCUGGAGAGAGGAAGUCAGGGAAGAGGACUGCCUUCAGGAGACAAAGGAGAUACAGCUAUGUGUCUCUAAGAAUCCUCAUGGAUGAUGGCCAUGCGCAGUGGCUAACGCCUGUAGUCCCCAGCACUUUGGGAAGCUGAGGCGGGUGAAUCAUCUGAGGUCAGGAGUUUGAGACAAGCCUGGCCAACAUAGCGAAACCUCGUCUCUACUAAAAAUGCAAAAUUUAACUGGGCAGCCAUGGUGGUGCAUGCCUGU